GUGCUUGCUUUGGCAGCACAUAAGCUAAAACUGCAGUGACAGAGAAGAUUACCAGAUUACCAUGGCCCCUGCACAAAGAUGACAAAUUUGUGAAGCAUUAAAAAAGAAA
Small nuclear RNA from Peromyscus maniculatus bairdii (prairie deer mouse), 109 nucleotides. The record is from Ensembl. Lineage: Eukaryota; Metazoa; Chordata; Mammalia; Rodentia; Cricetidae.